Peromyscus maniculatus bairdii (prairie deer mouse) is the source of this 1065-nucleotide non-coding RNA. The record is from RefSeq and is a predicted model, not a curated record. NCBI's taxonomy places the organism in Eukaryota, Metazoa, Chordata, Mammalia, Rodentia, Cricetidae.
GUUUCUAAUGUCUGUCGACUUUGGUCUCGUGAAAAGUGGACGUAUUUCAUCACUCUGCAGUGGAGCCAAGAGACUGCCUUCCAGUGGGAGAAGUUUGGGUUCCCAAAGCAGCUACUCAGGAGCUUCUGCUAUGGAAUAAAAGCCAAACUGUACUCACGUGACUUGAUGCAUCAAACUGCAAACCAUCUUUUCCCUGAAGAAUUAUUUGAGGCAUGAAUCCCUGUGAAGAAUUUUACAUUUUGAGGGGAGCCUCUUUCGAGUCCAAGUCUAUGCUCUGGAGAAAUUGAUGACUUCUGGAGCUAUAGGCAGACUCGUUCUGGGACUGUUGGCAGGGACAUCAGUGCCCUGUGAAAGGUGAUGUGGAAAGCCAUGACUCAGAGUGAGGUCUUCAGUGGCUUUCUUCAUCAAAGCAGAAAAACCAGAUGCUGAACUUAAGGCUCAGAAAGAUUCAUGCACCGGCCCAAUGCUACCCAAAUGGCAGCUGUUCUGAAAUGUGAGCCUACAUGUCUUUGACUACCGUGCCUGGGCUCUGAAUUACCACAAUGCGUGAAAGAAUCAGAGAUGUGGAUGAGAAGCUAAGAAUACGAAGAGAAAGCGUGGUUUUCAGCCAAAGAGUAAAUAUAGAAUAUUGGGAGGGGCGGAAUUAAUGGAAAGAGAAAUGAACAGAAACGUCUUUUGGGGGAGGUGCCAUGUUUCAAAAGAAUCCUGUCCCCUUUACCCUAAACCCAUAUCCCCUCACAUCUUGUGAUGGGGACUUGGAUUCCACUCUGGGGACGUUUAUCAGGAAUGGUUGUCCCCAUUUACAGUCCAAGUCUUUAAAAAUUUGCAUUAUAAAUAGAUGAUUUUUUGUUUUUUAGUGUUCAACAGGCUUGAGCAGUGUGAGACAUUUUUUUUUUUUCUGAGACCCAGUCACACCACCUCCUCUUCUGAAUUUCUUGUUCUGUUCAUCUUUGACUCCUCCCCCCAGCCCAGCCCCGUGCCUGACGGUUAGCGGGCACCCAGGAAGGCAUCGGGUGACUGGUUCAAGAAGGAAAUGAGAUUCUGAAGGCACUCACCAAGUGGAGU